Molecule: long non-coding RNA, 1830 nt
Organism: Pseudopipra pipra
Lineage: Eukaryota; Metazoa; Chordata; Aves; Passeriformes; Pipridae
Exons: 3
Source: RefSeq, a predicted model, not a curated record
UCGCUAUCAUCCUCACAGUCAGCUUGACCAUCACAUCUUCUGGAUGCCAGGACACACCUCCCAGAACGGCACUUGAAGUGACUGGAGUACCAUUCUGGGACAAGAGAGCAGAAGAGAGCUGGAUGAUCUUUAAGGAAGUCUUCCACUGAGUGCAAGAGCUAGCAAUCCCCAGGAGCAAGAAAUCCAUCAAGGAAGGCAAGAGACUGGCAUGGCUGAGUAGGGAACUGCUGGUCAAACUAAAGGAAAAGAAGCAAAUGCACAGGCAGUGGAAACAAGGACAGGAAUAUCUGUUUUGGAGCCAAGAUGGGCAACAACAGUGAAUCAGCUUUUUAGAGACUGUCAAGGGUCUACCUCCUGCUUAGAAAAACAUUAUUAGAUCAUCUAAGAAGAUAAAAAAUUGAAAUAUUACAACAAGCAAGCAGUUGCUGUGCUGGCAGCAAAUCUCAAAACACUGACUUUCACAGAUCGAGGGUAAUUGAACCUUCCUUCAAACAGACUUCUCAUGAAAAUUUCUUCUUAUCUGCAAACUUCAGGUAUUCAAAUUCCAUGAAACUCAGUUAGGAAUAAUUUCCACAGUUUAAAUAUUAUAAUUAAAAAGAAGAUAUGAACUUGGGAACCUAUUUAAAACUUUAAUUUGCUGUUAUAUGUAUAGGAGAUACCUUCUACAUCUUCAUCUGGUGUUAGACAAGUUUGAUUGUCUGAGUUCUCAUCUGGAAACUGAGUGCAGUCUGUAUCCUCUGGCCACUGCAGACCUACAAUCCCAAGAACAGCCUCGCAGCGUUCCUUAGACUGUACACAUAAUGUCCUGAGGAGACAAAAUGGAAUUGCACAAAGUAACUGAGUUAAUGUCUUAGAAAUUCUGAGAUACUCUAAGUUAAUAAUCCCUAGCAAGGGAAUUUUAGGACAUGCAUUGCAAUUUUCAGUGCACUUUUCUUUCAAUGCAGUAAAUGUUAAUUGAUAAAUACUGUCAAGGUAGGCCCAAUAAAAGAGGCAGAAAUACAGAAAUGGUCAGGCAGUUGGACUAGGUGGUCAUUGUAGGUCUCUUCCAACUGAAAUAGUCUAAUUUAUUCUAUAUAUACAUUUUGAAAAUAAACUAUCUGCCAUUUCUUUCCUUUUUCUGAAUACUUUUGAUGCUAAACAAACACAUGUAAUGAACUGCAUUUAAUAAUCAUAAAAUACAGUUCUCUGUCAUUUGCUACAGAAUUCCAACCCAAAAUUUCUGGCGUUGUCAGUGGAAGCAUAGAACUGCAAAAGGCUAAUAUGACAGACAAAGUCAAGAAUUAAAUGAAGUAUAGUAUAGUACCUGCAAGGUGGGAUCCGCUGAUUUGUGUGAGGGUCACAUUUCGGUACUAAGAUUGUGCAGGCAAAAAACAUCAGGUACUUGUAGCAGUUGGUCUGAACCAAGGCUGGGAAAAGAGAAGACUCCCAGCUGAUAGAGGCUUCCUUCUGCGUCCUGUGGCCCAGGUAGUUUGGGUAGUAAGUAUAGUUGUAGGGCAAGUUCAUACAAAGUUCCAGAGUAAUUGGUUCACACUGACCUGUUCCAGAAAGAAAACAAACAAAACCACAAAUGGUGUGAGAUUCAAUUAAAUACUGCAGAAAUAAUUACAUACGUAUUUAACAAAUUUAUUAGUCAAGGAAUUUCCUCCCAGGCAUUAGAAACAAGUUCCAGAGCUCAAGACCCCAUAUGAGUUCUCAUGCCAGUAAAGGUGGGUUUGACUUCUGCCUACCUCACAAAACUAUUGAGACUGAUAUUUCCUUAUUAAUAUGCAUUAAUUUCCUGAGCAAUGUCUUAACUUGAAUGUGGUACAAUAAACCAUCCUUUAAAACAGA